UCAAGUGAAUAAGUGCAUCAGGCGGAUGCCUUGGCGAUGAUAGGCGACGAAGGACGUGUAAGCCUGCGAAAAGCGCGGGGGAGCUGGCAAUAAAGCUAUGAUUCCGCGAUGUCCGAAUGGGGAAACCCACUGCAUUCUGUGCAGUAUCCUAAGUUGAAUACAUAGGCUUAGAGAAGCGAACCCGGAGAACUGAACCAUCUAAGUACCCGGAGGAAAAGAAAUCAACCGAGAUUCCGCAAGUAGUGGCGAGCGAACGCGGAGGAGCCUGUACGUAAUAACUGUCGAGAUAGAAGAACAAGCUGGGAAGCUUGACCAUAGCGGGUGACAGUCCCGUAUUCGAAAUCUCAACAGCGGUACUAAGCGUACGAAAAGUAGGGCGGGACACGUGAAAUCCUGUCUGAAUAUGGGGGGACCAUCCUCCAAGGCUAAAUACUCAUCAUCGACCGAUAGUGAACCAGUACCGUGAGGGAAAGGCGAAAAGAACCCCGGGAGGGGAGUGAAACAGAACCUGAAACCUGAUGCAUACAAACAGUGGGAGCGCCCUAGUGGUGUGACUGCGUACCUUUUGUAUAAUGGGUCAACGACUUACAUUCAGUAGCGAGCUUAACCGGAUAGGGGAGGCGUAGGGAAACCGAGUCUUAAUAGGGCGAUGAGUUGCUGGGUGUAGACCCGAAACCGAGUGAUCUAUCCAUGGCCAGGUUGAAGGUGCCGUAACAGGUACUGGAGGACCGAACCCACGCAUGUUGCAAAAUGCGGGGAUGAGCUGUGGGUAGGGGUGAAAGGCUAAACAAACUCGGAGAUAGCUGGUUCUCCCCGAAAACUAUUUAGGUAGUGCCUCGAGCAAGACACUGAUGGGGGUAAAGCACUGUUAUGGCUAGGGGGUUAUUGCAACUUACCAACCCAUGGCAAACUCAGAAUACCAUCAAGUGGUUCCUCGGGAGACAGACAGCGGGUGCUAACGUCCGUUGUCAAGAGGGAAACAACCCAGACCGCCGGCUAAGGUCCCAAAUGAUAGAUUAAGUGGUAAACGAAGUGGGAAGGCACAGACAGCCAGGAUGUUGGCUUAGAAGCAGCCAUCAUUUAAAGAAAGCGUAAUAGCUCACUGGUCGAGUCGUCCUGCGCGGAAGAUGUAACGGGGCUCAAAUCUAUAACCGAAGCUGCGGAUGCCGGUUUACCGGCAUGGUAGGGGAGCGUUCUGUAGGCUGAUGAAGGUGCAUUGUAAAGUGUGCUGGAGGUAUCAGAAGUGCGAAUGUUGACAUGAGUAGCGAUAAAGCGGGUGAAAAGCCCGCUCGCCGAAAGCCCAAGGUUUCCUACGCAACGUUCAUCGGCGUAGGGUAAGUCGGCCCCUAAGGCGAGGCAGAAAUGCGUAGUCGAUGGGAAACAGGUUAAUAUUCCUGUACUUGAUUCAAAUGCGAUGUGGGGACGGAGAAGGUUAGGUUGGCAAGCUGUUGGAAUAGCUUGUUUAAGCCGGUAGGUGGAAGACUUAGGCAAAUCCGGGUUUUCUUAACACCGAGAAGUGAUGACGAGUGUCUACGGACACGAAGCAACCGAUACCACGCUUCCAGGAAAAGCCACUAAGCUUCAGUUUGAAUCGAACCGUACCGCAAACCGACACAGGUGGGCAGGAUGAGAAUUCUAAGGCGCUUGAGAGAACUCGGGAGAAGGAACUCGGCAAAUUGAUACCGUAACUUCGGGAGAAGGUAUGCCCUCUAAGGUUAAGGACUUGCUCCGUAAGCCCCGGAGGGUCGCAGAGAAUAGGUGGCUGCGACUGUUUAUUAAAAACACAGCACUCUGCCAACACGAAAGUGGACGUAUAGGGUGUGACGCCUGCCCGGUGCCGGAAGGUUAAUUGAAGAUGUGCAAGCAUCGGAUCGAAGCCCCGGUAAACGGCGGCCGUAACUAUAACGGUCCUAAGGUAGCGAAAUUCCUUGUCGGGUAAGUUCCGACCCGCACGAAUGGCGUAACGAUGGCCACACUGUCUCCUCCCGAGACUCAGCGAAGUUGAAGUGGUUGUGAAGAUGCAAUCUACCCGCUGCUAGACGGAAAGACCCCGUGAACCUUUACUGUAGCUUUGCAUUGGACUUUGAAGUCACUUGUGUAGGAUAGGUGGGAGGCUUGGAAGCAGAGACGCCAGUCUCUGUGGAGUCGUCCUUGAAAUACCACCCUGGUGUCUUUGAGGUUCUAACCCAGACCCGUCAUCCGGGUCGGGGACCGUGCAUGGUAGGCAGUUUGACUGGGGCGGUCUCCUCCCAAAGCGUAACGGAGGAGUUCGAAGGUUACCUAGGUCCGGUCGGAAAUCGGACUGAUAGUGCAAUGGCAAAAGGUAGCUUAACUGCGAGACCGACAAGUCGGGCAGGUGCGAAAGCAGGACAUAGUGAUCCGGUGGUUCUGUAUGGAAGGGCCAUCGCUCAACGGAUAAAAGGUACUCCGGGGAUAACAGGCUGAUUCCGCCCAAGAGUUCAUAUCGACGGCGGAGUUUGGCACCUCGAUGUCGGCUCAUCACAUCCUGGGGCUGUAGUCGGUCCCAAGGGUAUGGCUGUUCGCCAUUUAAAGUGGUACGUGAGCUGGGUUUAAAACGUCGUGAGACAGUUUGGUCCCUAUCUGCAGUGGGCGUUGGAAGUUUGACGGGGGCUGCUCCUAGUACGAGAGGACCGGAGUGGACGAACCUCUGGUGUACCGGUUGUAACGCCAGUUGCAUAGCCGGGUAGCUAAGUUCGGAAGAGAUAAGCGCUGAAAGCAUCUAAGCGCGAAACUCGCCUGAAGAUGAGACUUCCCUUGCGGUUUAACCGCACUAAAGGGUCGUUCGAGACCAGGACGUUGAUAGGUGGGGUGUGGAAGCGCGGUAACGCGUGAAGCUAACCCAUACUAAUUGCCCGUGAGGCUUGACUCU
Molecule: ribosomal RNA, 2890 nt
Filed under: Neisseria gonorrhoeae
Lineage: Bacteria; Pseudomonadati; Pseudomonadota; Betaproteobacteria; Neisseriales; Neisseriaceae
Also listed under: 1 other name
Description: bacterial LSU rRNA
Rfam family: Bacterial large subunit ribosomal RNA
Source: RNAcentral